Molecule: long non-coding RNA, 1851 nt
Filed under: Nicotiana tabacum (common tobacco)
Lineage: Eukaryota; Viridiplantae; Streptophyta; Magnoliopsida; Solanales; Solanaceae
Description: long non-coding RNA (NTAB_LNC009491)
Source: RNAcentral
CGACAAAAGUUGUCGCAACUUAGGUUCAUAAUUUUACUUAAACAUUAGGUCAAAUGUUUCUAAUCUUUUCUCAUAAUUUACAAGGAAUUACGGAGUGAUAUACCAACAAAAUUAAAGAUCUAUGAGUCUAGUUUCCAACUCAUUAAACCGUUCAUCGAUACGAUCUCGGAGUAGAGAGAUAUUCGCGUUUUCGCGAGACUGCGCCAAGCACCUCUCUAUGGGGCCCACUAAGUCGGUUUAAGAUAUUUGGACCUAUAUAGGAUGACUACAAACCGUUUUAAGUCAUUUCUUUUCACUAUUUUCAGACCUUAGAACCCUAAGAACAUCCUCUCAAGGUUCUCUCAAGAUUCAAGACCCNNNNNNNNNNNNNNNNNNNNNNNNNAAUACAUUGGAAGGUGAAACGGCUCUAUGAGGUAAGCAAUAAUUUGAGAAUACUCCUCCUUAAUACAAAAUGGUGAUAUGUAGAUAAUGUAAAUACGCAUAAUGCUUUGUGUAGCCUUGUGAAGCCAUAUGUUGGGAUUAAUUACUUGCAAGUUUUGCUAGUGACCAUUUUAUAGGGGAAAAUUGAUUGGAAAUUUCCAUUGGAAUCCACGAUGAUUUAAACUCCCCAUAAACCCUUACACUCGAGGACGAAUGUUCCUAAGGGGGGAGGGUGUUACAACCCAUAUCCACAUGUGUUAGUUCAUGCCAUAUAUUAGUUAACAUAAAUCCAAGAAGGAAUUAUCUUUGAGAUGAUAAGAAGUCAAUCCUAUUGGUCUUAAGUGAUACAAGAGUGUAUAAGGGUGAUUAACCAGUAUUAGAAGUUAAACGAAUCAAGGAUGUUGUAACUCGAAUUUUCAGGUAAUCUAGCGGUGCUUAAUACACUCAAGAGGUCAUUUAUGAAGGUAUUUUAAUCAUAUAAUAUCCGUAUCAUAAGUCUUGAAGUCAAACGAGUUAUGAAACAAAAGUCGACAAAAGUUGUCGCAACUUAGGUUCAUAAUUUUACUUAAACAUUAGGUCAAAUGUUUCUAAUCUUUUCUCAUAAUUUACAAGGAAUUACGGAGUGAUAUACCAACAAAAUUAAAUAUCUAUGAGUCUAGUUUCCAAAUCAUUAAACCGUUCAUCGAUACGAUCUCGGAGUAGAGAGAUAUUCGCGUUUUCGCGAGACUGCGCCAAGCACCUCUCUAUGGGGCCCACUAAGUCGGUUUAAGAUAUUUGGACCUAUAUAGGAUGACUACAACCCGUUUUAAGUCAUUUCUUUUCACUAUUUUCAGACCUUAGAACCCUAGGAACAUCCUCUCAAGGUUCUCUCAAGAUUCAAGACCCAAAAAAAGGGCAAACCACACAAAUCAAGUGUCGGGAAUUCCGUGGCGCUAGUAAGUCUCUUGUUCUUCUUGUUGUUGCUCAUUUUUGUGUCGUUCCAGCCCGUGUGGGAGGUUGUUUUAAAGGGUUUAUGUUCUGUAAAUACUCCCUCAUGUUCUUAAUAUCAAUCCUAGGUAAUUUCAAGCCUUCUAAAGUGAUUCUAGUGCCGAAAAACACUAAUUGAUCGCUAGUUUCGUUUUUUUUGUUGUGUGGCAGCAUUGGAGGGAUAUUUCAUGGAAAUUUAAGGUCAAAUUGGACUUGUUCUUUCUGUAUAAAGGUAAGGAACCUCUUACUCUAUAUGUAUUUAAGAUUAUCCAAGUUGCGGCUAAGCCAUUGAAGCUAGAACUUGUGAGAUAUAUAUCGAAAGGCUUGGUAGUAAUGUUAUUGUUUUGUGGACUGUUUUGUGUUAUUGUUGGGCUGCGUAUUUUACUACUAUCUUGUGGAGUUUUGGAGGAGGAAGGGUGUGGAGAAACACCAUAUAUAUGUAGGUUUAUGGGCUGAUAGUUAUUC